Molecule: small nuclear RNA, 345 nt
Filed under: Callithrix jacchus (white-tufted-ear marmoset)
Lineage: Eukaryota; Metazoa; Chordata; Mammalia; Primates; Cebidae
Description: 7SK RNA
Rfam family: 7SK RNA
About the family: 7SK was discovered as an abundant small nuclear RNA in the mid-70s but a possible function has only recently been suggested. Two independent studies have found that 7SK RNA binds the CDK9/cyclin T complex (known as elongation factor P-TEFb). P-TEFb activates transcription by phosphorylating the C-terminal domain of RNA polymerase II.
Source: Rfam by way of RNAcentral
GGAUGUGAGGGCGAUCUGGCUGUGAUAUCUGUCACCCCAUUGAUCGCCAGGGUUGAUUCGGCUGAUCUGGCUGGCUAUGCGGGUGUCCCUUUCCUCCUUCACCACUCCAUGUGCGUCCCUCCCAAAGCUGUGCACUCGGUCGAAGAGGACGACCAGCCCCGAUAGAGGAGGACUGGUCUUAGGUCAAGGGUAUACGAGUAGCUGCACUCCCCUGCUAGAACCUCAGUCCUGAUUUUUUUUUUUUUUUUUAAGAUAGAGUCUCACUCUGUCCUCCAGGCUGGAGUGCAGUGGCGCCAUCUUGGCUCACUGCAACCUCCGCCUCUUGGGUUCAAGUGAUUCUCCUGC